Molecule: ribosomal RNA, 253 nt
Filed under: uncultured bacterium
Lineage: Bacteria
Description: partial 16S ribosomal RNA
Rfam family: Bacterial small subunit ribosomal RNA
Source: RNAcentral
UACAGAGGUCCCAAGCGUUGUUCGGAUUCAUUGGGCGUAAAGGGUGCGUAGGCGGCGCGGUAAGUCGGGUGUGAAAUCUCGGAGCUUAACUCCGAAACUGCAUUCGAUACUGCCGUGCUUGAGGACUGGAGAGGAGACUGGAAUUUACGGUGUGGCGGUGAAAUGCGUAGAUAUCGUAAGGAAGACCAGUGGCGAAGGCGGGUCUCUGGACAGUUCCUGACACUGAGGCACGAAGGCCAGGGGAGCAAACGGG